Molecule: ribosomal RNA, 301 nt
Filed under: uncultured bacterium
Lineage: Bacteria
Description: partial 16S ribosomal RNA
Rfam family: Bacterial small subunit ribosomal RNA
Source: RNAcentral
CAGCCGCCACGGUAAUACAGAGGAUGCAAGCGUUAUCCGGAAUGAUUGGGCGUAAAGCGUCUGUAGGUGGCUUUUCAAGUCCGCCGUCAAAUCCCAGGGCUCAACCCUGGACAGGCGGUGGAAACUACCAAGCUGGAGUACGGUAGGGGCAGAGGGAAUUUCCGGUGGAGCGGUGAAAUGCGUAGAUAUCGGAAGGAACACCUGUGGCGAAAGCGGCUCACUGGACCAUAACUGACGCUGAGGCACGAAAGCUAGGGGAGCAAACAGGAUUAGAUACCCCUGUAGUCCCUGUCUCUUAUAC